UAGCACUUCAGAUUUUUCUAUACUGAGCUCCUAGUUCCAGUGCCUGGUGUACAAAGGGGCUGAAGUGUCGUCAGCCAUACAAAGAAUAAGCCGGCCUAGGCUUCCCUGGCCUCCAGGAGUUCUACAGACAGAAUGCCUGAACCCUGCAGAGCAGCUGGUGUGAGGCUCUGCUGGUGAGCUGGCUGACAACAGAAGCACCGGCUUCCUGAACUGGGUGGGGUCUGGGAGGGUGCAGAGGAUGAGUACCUGACUUUAAAAUGGGAUCUCGCGCAGGGCAGGGUGAUCUUUAAAUCUUCCCACCCCAGUCCUGCCUCUUCCUCCUAUGAGCUGGGAUUCCAGGCUGGUGUGCCAUGCGCCACCAUACCCAGCUAGUGCAAUGGUUUUGAUGCAGCUGGUUCUCAGCAGCCUCAGCUUAGCUGCUAAGGAGAGUGCUGGAGAGAAAAGGACGCAAAGACUUCACAGUCCUUUCCAGAUCCCUUCAGAGGCUCCUGGCCAAUCGCAUGGACCAUUGUUUGCCUUUGGUCUGCUUCCUUGGUUCUUGCCCUUGUGACUUUGAUUCCUAAACCCCCUUCAACACAAGUGACUUCUACCAAUUUGAACGUGCCUUUCUGGAAUCCUACUUGAAGCAGGAGACGGGACGAAAUAAACAGGAACUAUCACAUAGCAAGUCUCAGAAAAUCUUAAGGACAUUAGGGAAAACCCUCGGUGGUUUCUUUUCAGCUCUGCUCUGGUGGAAAGACUGGUGAUGACCCUCUUUUAUUUAGCUGAUAACCAAAUAGCAGUAAUUAACACAAAGCCUCAAUCAACAAAAUAGUCCACAACUCCCAAUGUGAGGAAUGUAACCAGUAUUAAACUUUAGAAAAAUGGCUUCAAGAAAUCAAGCACUUUUUUUUUUUUUAAAAAAAAAGCAAGGUCUUGUUGCAUGGCCCAUGCUGGCAUUGAACUCGCUGUCUUCAUCUUCCUGCUUUUUGCUUUGUGACUCAUGACUGGAUUCUUCCAGAGUCAAGGUCACAGGGAAUUCUGAUUUAAUUCUAUAGUUAUUUUGAGACAGGCCUCAUUAUGUAGACUAGGCUGGCCUAAGUCUACACUGGAGACCCUUCUGAGUGCUGAGGUCCAGCAAUCCCAUACACUCUGUGAGUACUCUUACCGUCUUCCCCUUUAUUAACUCCGUGGCUAGGGAGCUGGAGGCGAUGGCGGAGCCGCAACCGAAUGUUUUAAAUCUGGCGUCCACAAUCUUCCCCUUUUCAUCCACCUGAAUCUAGAAAAGAAACAGGAGCUAAGAGGUGACCUUGGAACCUCUGGCCCACAGUGGGUGUUCAGCAUGAGCCCUGGGUUGCUGUGCACACCAGAUGCUAUGGCAUCAAUUACUAUGUUUUAUUUCAAAGAGCUCAGUCACCGACAGUGAAACCUGGGGCCCACACAGACCCAGCUGACAGA
Molecule: non-coding RNA, 1437 nt
Organism: Myodes glareolus (Bank vole)
Lineage: Eukaryota; Metazoa; Chordata; Mammalia; Rodentia; Cricetidae
Source: RefSeq, a predicted model, not a curated record